ACUGGCUUGUACUUGUCUGUUGUUUGUCUUUCUUCCCCACUGAUGUGUGAACCCCCCAAGGGCAGGAAUUGUGUCCUGUAUACACCCUUGACUCCCCAGGUCCUAGAGAGCAUCUGAUUCAUUGCAUGGGCUUAGGGAAUAUGUCUGAAUGAAUGCAGCUGUGAAUGAGUGAAUGAACGAAUGAGCACACUGAGCUUCUCACAGAAGCAGCUGAUCCCAAGGAUGUUGAUUGCUAGACUAGAACUUUCUCUUCCAUGUACCCUGUCCCUCCUUUCCUUACUCUCUCUGACCUGGCCUUUCUUUCCCUACAGUUGCCCCCAAAGGACCCAAAAUUGUGAUGACGCCCAGCAGAGCCCGGGUAGGGGACACAGUGAGGAUUCUGGUCCAUGGGUUUCAGAACGAAGUCUUCCCGGAGCCCAUGUUCACGUGGACGCGGGUUGGGAGCCGCCUCCUGGACGGCAGCGCUGAGUUCGACGGGAAGGAGCUGGUGCUGGAGCGGGUUCCCGCCGAGCUCAAUG
RNAcentral lists this small RNA (518 nucleotides) under Pan troglodytes (chimpanzee). RNAcentral describes it as "processed transcript". Lineage: Eukaryota; Metazoa; Chordata; Mammalia; Primates; Hominidae. The record is from RNAcentral.